This 1094-nucleotide long non-coding RNA is filed under the name Capra hircus (goat). RNAcentral describes it as "lncRNA (ENSCHIG00010011707.1)". Lineage: Eukaryota; Metazoa; Chordata; Mammalia; Artiodactyla; Bovidae. The record is from RNAcentral.
CGGACACGACUGAGCAAUUGAACUGACUGACUGAGGUUGAUUAUAUUGCUCAACCUUGAAGAAUUACCCUUUUCUAGGAGAUGUCCGUUGUGUCCCAGCAGGGUACUCCCGUUUUGUUUCCAUAUUUAUCUGCUCUAGGGGUUUUCUCUAUGAGGGCUGCAUGGAUCUUUCUGCUGUGGGCACUCUGGUAGGCUUGUUGGUCCCCAGUUCUUUUGAUUUCUAAAUUCUGCCUUGUGUGUAUGCUGACAGUUCACUGGUUGGCAGGACUGGGUCAAGAGGCAACUGACUGCAGAACCCAGGAAAGGCCAUGUCCCGAGGCAGUUGUAGGCUCAGAGGAUCUUAAGGCAGCCUAUCACCUGGUGGGUGGGUCUGUGCACCAAGUUAGUUGCUUGAUUUGAGGCAAUUCAAAACUAGCACCUAUAGAAUAUUAGUCCAGGACUGCUCUGAGUCCUGGGGCCAAUAAGCAAAAGGAAAAUUCCAACAUGGCACUUGCCAAGGCUAAUAUCCACAUGGCAGAAGGAACUCCCAAAAUAGCUGCUCCCAGUGUGAGCUGCAGUUGACUGCUGCCUCUCCAGGAGACUCUCUAGGAUCAGGAGGUAGGUGGGUCUGACCUAGGCUCUUGCUGAAUUACUGCUUCUCUCCUGACUUCUAGAUCAUGCAAGAUUUUGUGUGUGCCAUUUAAGAGUGAAGUCUCUAUUUCCCCCAUCCUUCUGGGACUCUUAAAAUUAUUUCCCACUGGCUUCAAAGUCAAAUGCUCUGGGGAAUCAUUUUCCUGGUACAGGAUCUCUGGACUAUGGAUUUAAUGACCAACAUUAAAUCACAGGAUGAUUAUCAUCACUAAAACUGAAAAUGAUCUCUGAAAUUGGAGCUAAAUAUUAUUUAGCUAACAAAGCACAUGGCAGCUAUAAACUAAACAGUGAUUCAAAAUUUGACAAAAGUAACUGUUGCCAUUAAACCUUAGAUAUGACAUGUAUAGAAAUGAAAUGGUACGGGGAGGGAGGUGGGAGGGGGGUUCAGGGUGGGUAACACGUGUACACCCAUGGUGGAUUCAUGUUGACGGAUGGCAAAACCAAUACAAUAUUGUAAAGUAAUUA